UACGGGGGGGGCAAGCGUUGUUCGGAAUUACUGGGCGUAAAGGGCGCGUAGGCGGUUCGAUAAGUCAGCUGUGAAAACCAUGGGCUUAACUCACGGCCUGCAGUUGAGACUGUCGGGCUGGAGUGUGGGAGAGGAGAGUGGAAUUCCUGGUGUAGCGGUGAAAUGCGUAGAUAUCAGGAGGAACACCGGUGGCGAAGGCAGCUCUCUGGGACGGUACUGACGCUGAGACGCGAAAGCGUGGGGAGCGAACAGG
This 253-nucleotide ribosomal RNA is filed under the name uncultured bacterium. RNAcentral describes it as "partial 16S ribosomal RNA". It matches the Rfam family "Bacterial small subunit ribosomal RNA", at positions 524 to 776 of the family's 1533-position model. The record is from RNAcentral.